RNAcentral lists this ribosomal RNA (1028 nucleotides) under Planktothrix agardhii PATA02. Its description in RNAcentral is "bacterial SSU rRNA". It matches the Rfam family "Bacterial small subunit ribosomal RNA", at positions 413 to 1455 of the family's 1533-position model. The record is from RNAcentral. Lineage: Bacteria; Bacillati; Cyanobacteriota; Cyanophyceae; Oscillatoriales; Microcoleaceae.
GGCUCUUGGGUUGUAAACCCCUUUUCUCAGGGAAGAAGUUCUGACGGUACCUGAGGAAUCAGCCUCGGCUAACUCCGUGCCAGCAGCCGCGGUAAUACGGAGGAGGCAAGCGUUAUCCGGAAUUAUUGGGCGUAAAGCGUCCGUAGGUGGUGGGGCAAGUCGGCGGUUAAAGACUGGGGCUUAACUCCCGAAAGGCCGUGGAAACUGCACCACUAGAGGGCAGUAGGGGUAGAGGGAAUUCCCGGUGUAGCGGUGAAAUGCGUAAAGAUCGGGAAGAACACCAGUGGCGAAAGCGCUCUACUGGACUGCAACUGACACUCAGGGACGAAAGCUAGGGGAACGAAUGGGAUUAAAUACCCCAGUAAUCCUAACCGUAAACGAUGGAUACUAAGUGUUGUCUGUAUCGACCCAGACAGUGCCCCAGCUAACGCGAUAAGUAUCCCGCCUGGGGAGUACGCACGCAAGUGUGAAACUCAAAGGAAUUGACGGGGGCCCGCACAAGCGGUGGAAUAUGUGGUUUAAUUCCAUGCAACGCGAAAAACCUUACCAGGGCUUGACAUGUCCCGAACCUCGCUGAAAGGUGAGGGUGCCUUCGGGAGCGCGAACACAGGUGGUGCAUGGCUGUCGUCAGCUCGUGUCGUGAGAUGUUGGGUUAAGUCCCGCAACGAGCGCAACCCUCGUUCUUAGUUGCCAUCAUUCAGUUGGGCACUCUAGGGAGACUGCCGGUGAUAAACCGGAGGAAGGUGGGGAUGACGUCAAGUCAUCAUGCCCCUUACGUCCUGGGCUACACACGUACUACAAUGGGUGGGACAAAGGGCAGCGAACUCGCAAGAGCCAGCUAAUCCCAUAAACCCAUCCUCAGUUCAGAUUGCUCUCUGCAACUCGAGAGCAUGAAUGAGAAUCGCUAGUAAUCGCAGUCAGCAUACUGCGUGAAUACGUUUCCCGGGUCUGGUACACACGCCCGGUCACACAUGUAGUGUCAUGGCCGGAGGUCAUACUCUAGCCAUCGGAGAGAUGCGAGGCAGACU